Onychostruthus taczanowskii (white-rumped snowfinch) is the source of this 2853-nucleotide long non-coding RNA. RefSeq lists it as uncharacterized. NCBI's taxonomy places the organism in Eukaryota, Metazoa, Chordata, Aves, Passeriformes, Passeridae. The record is from RefSeq and is a predicted model, not a curated record. The transcript has 4 exons.
UCCGCCCCCCUCCCCUCGGCCGGCCCGCGCCGGCCGUGGCUCACGCGCCUCCGGGCGGCGGAACUCCGCUCCGCUGUGGGCCGAGCGACGGGCCGCGGCUCUCCGUGGGGCUCCCAAAGGCUGCUGGAGCCCAGGCCGACUAGCAGCGCUUCUUCGCUGCUGGCUACUAUUCGUUUUCCUUGACAGGGACUGCGUCGCUCUUCAUACGCGCCUCCGAAAUAGAAAUGCCGCUGGAGACUUUCUGUAAAGCCGGUAAAAUGAAUUGUUACGGAUAUUUCUGCUGUGACUGCGAACUGCUCUUACUGAGUAGCUCAUGGGCCCUGACUGGAGAGAUGAGACAACACGGAGAAAAGAGAUGUAGGCAGAGACUUUCUAGCGAAGAGCUACUGUGAUAGUGGGCUUCUCCUGUAGCAGUACAACUGUUGAUCAGUAAGAGAUCUGCAGACAUCGGAGCUGGAGAGAUGGGGAGUGUCCUGGAUUAGGGUAAAUCUGGGAGAAAACCUCCAAAGGGGGCUCCCCCAGAAAACAAACCCACACAGCCCCUUUCCCCCACCGGUUUGGGAAGGAUUCCUCGGAGAGAAGUGGAAAGAACCUGUUUAUUUAACAGGCAAAACACCCCCAGCACACAAAAUGAACAAUACCAGAUGACAGCACUUUCACCGAUCUGAAAAGGAUGACAAAAUCAGAAAGUCUUUCCUGGGAGUGGUCGCUCUGUUGUUUCUCCCUCCGGCGCUGGGGAAUAGCUGCUGCAGCCACAAGAUGUAAACUCUCGCUGUUUCCCAUGUCCCAGUCCGGAGCAGGUUUGAAUGGCUUCAAAAAGGGAAGGGAAAAAACAGUCCAGGGAAAAAUCUAAACUAACAGAAGCAAGCAGCAAAAGCAGAGCGGGAGCAAAGCAGGAGCAAGAGCAAAGCAAAGCAGCAAAAAGCAAAACCCACACUAUGUACUGUCCCGUCUCUCUGUCCCACCAGCCGUGGGGGAGCAGGCUGAUAACAAACCAAAACAAACCUUGCUCUUCAGAACCAGUCUUGAAGGCACAGUACAUAAUAUCCAGCACCAACAGAACACACGAUUAUGGAUACAAGCAUCAUAACCUCACCCUAGGACAGGGAGAAAGAGUUUCAAUGAUGCUGGAACUGCCUCUCUGGAUGUGUGCUCAGCUCUCGCUGCUAUGGACUGUGUGGCCUUAAUUGCUGCAGGUUCCUGUUCUCACUGAAGAAUUGGAAAUAAUUAUUAAUUAGACUGCCAAGAUGUUUCCUAAAACCUUUCCCUUUAGUGGUAGAUCUUCUCUUUCUGCCUUUGAAUUUACAGUGAUUCUUGGAUGUCAUUCACCUACCCAAAUUCCUUGCAGCUCUUGGGGUAGAGAGAAGCUUCUCCUGUGGCUGAGGUUCAGCAGGAAAAUGAUACCAUGUGUUCCACCUCCUUAAUAAAUGUAACUGCUCUUUAUAUCUUAGAGUGUAGAUUUAGUUAAUCCUUUUUCAACAGAAAGUGGCAGGCUGAACUCACCUGAAUUACUGAACCAUACUUUGGAUAGUUGAAUUUUUUAAAAGAAAAAAAAAAAAAAACAACAACCAAACCCAGGGUUUUUGUCUGUGGGUUUUACUGGUAUUGCUCCUUAAUUGAGCCACAACUUUAAAUAAUGACGUGGGCACUUUCUGGAAACAGGUCUCAUGGGACCUCUGAGCUCACAUUUUUCCAUUGCCAAGUUAAUUACAGGUCCAAGCUGACAGUGUCUGUGCAUCUGGUGUUCAUUGAUCUGUUUGUGAUACUAAUUUCAUUUGGAUGCAGAGUUGGGCUUUUGGGGCAGAUGAUGCCCCUCAAGCCAUGAGGCUUGUUUAAACCUUGUACUCUACUUUUUGAAGAUCCAGGGUGGGUGAGGACUUUGUCUUGUUGCUGUAUUAGGGGAUAGCAUUCAGGAAGUUCCUACAAUCUUCACACUGAAGUUGAAAUGUUCGAGGAUAUCGGUGUGAUGGUUCUCAGGGAGGAAUCUUGCUCCCACCGGCCUGUAGUGUGGUAGCGUAGGACCCAGAAGAGUAGGGUGUGAGGGACAGGGUGGAUAGGAACACUUCCCCCACCAGAGAGAGUAAAUCUAAACCAGAGAGUCAGAACCCGGAAGCGAUGACCGAUUGCUCCACCACCAGGCACUGUAAACUGGAAGCAGCGAGUCGUAACCCCAGAGUGACUGCCAAUACUUCCACAACCAGACAGGGCAAUCUGCAGCAGCUGCAGAAAGCAUCUUUAAGAUCUGUCUCUGAAAACCAAAUAAAACCACCUCAAACUUUAGUUAGCAAGGUAUAGGGAUUUGCAGCUACUGGGUGAAUACUUUUAGCAACUCCAUUAAGUGCCCAUAAAUCUUGCAGUAGUCUAUAAGUGCCAAUAGGUUUCCUUACUGGUAAUACAGGAUUAUUAAAUUCUGAUUCGCAUUCUUUCAACAAUCCUAAUGUCAGGAAUUUAUUGGUUAUUUGCUCUAUUCCUUUUCUGUUUUCCAACCUUACAGGGUAUUGCUUUCGGACUACUCACCUAACUCCUGUCUGUAGUUCAGUUUAAAAAUGGUCUGCCCAUUUUGAUCUUGACUGGGUAUCAGUAUGCCAUACUGAUUAGGUAUUUGCUCUAAAUAGUUACUAUUGUUUGUUAGUCUUGUGUCAAUUGUCAGUCCUAAUGCUGAAAUAAAUUUGUCUUCAGGUACCUUAAAUUUAAUUUUUCCUUCUCUAAGCUCAAUUUGCUUUUAAAUUUUCAAGCAAAUCACUGCCUAGCAGAGAUUUGGGUGAAUUAGGUAAAGAAACUGGUGUAUUCCCAUCUUCUUCCCGAUUUUAUAUUUAAGAGGUUUCAGGAAGAAUGCAUUUUCUGGCUGGUCAG